This is a long non-coding RNA of Marmota flaviventris (yellow-bellied marmot), 603 nucleotides long. RefSeq lists it as uncharacterized. The record is from RefSeq and is a predicted model, not a curated record. Lineage: Eukaryota; Metazoa; Chordata; Mammalia; Rodentia; Sciuridae.
CUUCUACACUGGCAGAAAAUGUGUAGCGUGAAAACGGGUCGGUAUCCAGGGACUUAGGGCCGACUGAACUGCGAUCAGCGGCUGUCCAGCAUAGUAGUAUGUCUGCCCAGUAGGAGGUCGGGUGCCCCUGAGCAGAGAGCCGCCUCUGGAAAGGAACAGUGACGUCCCUAAGCAGACACCCCGGGAAGCGUGGUCGGGAAAGGGCUCGCGGGAAGCGGCUUUUGAGAACAGAAAAAGGCUGAGACGAGCUGGCAGAGUGGGGCGGCCACGCCCCAGGGGUGCAGCUCGCGCGAGGCCUGGAGCCCAUGGAAGGAGUUGGGGAGCAGGGUCCGGAGGUGUGACACGAGUGUCCAGACCAUGCGGUGGAACAGACUUUUCAGCUAUGUUGUUGGGAUACUUGGAUAUCUACAUGCAAAAAACAAGUAAGAAGGCAAUCUCUCCUCCCCUGCUCUGCACUCUACACAGUGCUUUGUGUUAUGGAAGCUUGGAUCUGCCGAGCACCUAUAAUGUGUCUCCAUGUGCAUACUAUACGAGAUGAAAAAAUAUUUAAAUAUUGACCCCAAAAAUAUAUAUCCUUGCAAAUAAACAGUGAAAAAUCAUUAA